RNAcentral lists this ribosomal RNA (452 nucleotides) under uncultured bacterium. RNAcentral describes it as "bacterial SSU rRNA". It matches the Rfam family "Bacterial small subunit ribosomal RNA", at positions 144 to 573 of the family's 1533-position model. The record is from RNAcentral.
UAUCCUUCCGAAAGGAGGGGCAAUACCGAAUAUUGUCCGGAGCCAUGAAGGGUUCCGGGAAAGGGAGGCCUCUGAUACAAGCUUUCGCCUUAAGAUGAGCCCAUGGCCCAUCAGCGUAGUUGGUAGGGUAAAGGCCUACCAAGGCUACGACGGGUCGCUGGUCUGAGAGGACGACCAGCCACACUGGCACUGAGAUACGGGCCAGACUCCUACGGGAGGCAGCAGUGAGGAAUAUUGCGCAAUGGGGGAAACCCUGACGCAGCAACGCCGCGUGUGGGAAGAAGGCCUUCGGGUCGUAAACCACUUUUUGCACGGGACGAAAAAGGGAUAUCGAACAAAUAUCCCCGAUGACGGUACCGUGAGAAUAAGCCACGGCUAACUCUGUGCCAGCAGCCGCGGUAAGACAGAGGUGGCAAGCGUUGUUCGGAAUUACUGGGCGUAAAGAGUCUGUA